GAAAGAUCUCCCAUGCUCAUGGAUUGGCAGGAUUAAUGUGGUAAAAAUGGCCAUUUUACCAAAAGCAAUCUACAGAUUCAAUGCAAUCCCCAUCAAAAUACCAAUCCAAUUCUUCAAAGAGUUAGACAGAACAAUUUGCAAAUUCAUCUGGAAUAACAAAAAACCCAGGAUAGCUAAAGCUAUCCUCAACAAUAAAAGGACUUCAGGGGGAAUCACUAUCCCUGAACUCAAGCAGUAUUACAGAGCAAUAGUGAUAAAAACUGCAUGGUAUUGGUACAGAGACAGACAGAUAGACCAAUGGAAUAGAAUUGAAGACCCAGAAAUG
RNAcentral lists this long non-coding RNA (325 nucleotides) under Rattus norvegicus (Norway rat). RNAcentral's name for it is "long non-coding RNA NONRATT022834". The record is from RNAcentral. Lineage: Eukaryota; Metazoa; Chordata; Mammalia; Rodentia; Muridae.